This 481-nucleotide small RNA is filed under the name Pan troglodytes (chimpanzee). RNAcentral describes it as "processed transcript". The record is from RNAcentral. Lineage: Eukaryota; Metazoa; Chordata; Mammalia; Primates; Hominidae.
GCAGAAGCAGUGAUGAGAGGCCAGUGGCACAGAGACAGUUUAUAUUUAUUUAUUUAUUUAUUUAUAUCAACAGCAGUAGCAACUGCAGAAACUGAUGGCAGAAUUUUGUUGAGAUGCUGACCAGAGCUUCUUCUGAUUUGUUAUCUGAUUUGCCUACAGGGAAGAAUGAAAAGAAAGCCCCUGCCCCUCCAAUGGAGCCUGAAGUCCCCGAGAUGUCUCAAAGCAAAACUGAACAUAUGAAAACUCCAGAAGAGGAGCUGCAGCCAGAAAGCUCUCCUGCUGAAACUUCAGCCUGCAAAGAUCCUCUGAAACUUUUAAAGAUCAGGCCAGUCUCCCAGCCCUUCGUGAAUCCAGCUGUGAAGAACAAGGCUGAGGAAUGUGAGACAUGGAUAGACAGGUUCAGGAAGCUGGAAAAUGCCCUCUACCUGUGUGAUCUGAGUAACACAGGAGUUCUGGAGAAGGAACGAGCCAGACGCCUCAU